RNAcentral lists this long non-coding RNA (684 nucleotides) under Anas platyrhynchos platyrhynchos (common mallard). RNAcentral describes it as "lncRNA (ENSAPLG00000018931.1)". The record is from RNAcentral. Lineage: Eukaryota; Metazoa; Chordata; Aves; Anseriformes; Anatidae.
GAGGCACACAGUUACGAUAAUGACAACUGGAGCCAUACUGUGUUCUGCAUGCUUUCAGCAGCUCUCUCAGACACUGAAUGCACCCAUUGUGCUCAACCAACUGCACUGCACUCCCAGCUAUUUCCUCCUUGCUCACAUUUUAUGAACACCUGAGGAUGUUGGGGAUUGCAAAAAAAAAAAAUGACAAGAUAUAAUGACAGAUUUUCAUCACCCAGUCUCAGAAAGGGAUUCAGUGACUGCUAACUGAGCAGAUGGAGCAGUACCAACACAUGUGAGAAGAAAACAUUCAUCAUCUGAGCAGAGCUCUAUACAAAUGGCAAUCCUGCUUCUGAAGGCUGAGUACCCUUGCUCAUCACCAUGGCACGUCUCUGAUAUCCGACCAAGAUGGACAAAGGAGAAGGACAAGGAGAAAAGCCUGGGAGGAAGACUACAAGCACGAGAGACCCCUAGAGGGACCUCCGGAGACUGUUGCACAUGCGCCAGUGGGAGGGUUCAGAUUCCAGGAACCUGCCUUUUCUAGAAGUAGUAAUGAAUAUGUAUUAGCCUAGGAGCAUAAAAACCAGCCACCUGAUGUAACAUAUGUGUGUGUGUGUUGGCAGAGCCCAGAUUCCCUGCACACCCAGCGCUGUUUACUUGCCGUUUAAUUGACCCCAUAAAUAAAUCUUAUAAAUCAAAAUUGACUCA